UGUUUUUCUUGCUUCAAUCAUGCAUAAAUACACAUAUCUAACUCAAAUAUGUUUAGAUAUAGAGAUAUCUAACACUUACUCAAAAUUUUUAAGGAAAAGUAGAAUUUCUUCUCUCUAAACUUCAAGCUCAAACCUUCUAAAAUCUCUUUGAAAUCAAGUGUAGAGAGUGUUUAGGGCUUGAUUAAUUUAGUGAAGGAUUAUGCCAUAGAUGUGAUUUUGGGAAGCUUGGAAGGUCUCUCUAAUGGAGGUUCAUGGAGGAAAGAGAGAUGAGGGAGAGAGAAAGAGAGAGGGGCGAGAGGUUGAGGGUGAGAGGUGAGAGAAAAUUUUAUUUUGUUUUGAUACACUUUGAUCCUCAAGAUCAAAUGAAAUCUUCUUCAUUAAUUGCUUGUCUCCCAAAAUCU
This 401-nucleotide long non-coding RNA is filed under the name Salvia miltiorrhiza (redroot sage). Its description in RNAcentral is "long non-coding RNA (SMIL_LNC013384)". Lineage: Eukaryota; Viridiplantae; Streptophyta; Magnoliopsida; Lamiales; Lamiaceae. The record is from RNAcentral.